GUAAAGAAUAGUCUUGGCCAAAAAAAACCCAAAGAUGAUGCAAGAAUAACAACAUUAAAGGACAAGAUGCAAGAAAUACAUUUAGACAUAGAGAGAAACCCAAAGAAGUACAAAGAAUCGACAAUCAGAAUUAUGAGAAAUCUCAAAAGAAUGGAAAAGGCAAGCAAGGAAAUCAGGAAAGGUGAAGCAAAAAAGAAAGAAAAAGGGCCAAUAGAAGAGA
Molecule: long non-coding RNA, 220 nt
Organism: Chenopodium quinoa (quinoa)
Lineage: Eukaryota; Viridiplantae; Streptophyta; Magnoliopsida; Caryophyllales; Amaranthaceae
Exons: 4
Source: RefSeq, a predicted model, not a curated record